This 300-nucleotide ribosomal RNA is filed under the name uncultured bacterium. Its description in RNAcentral is "bacterial SSU rRNA". It matches the Rfam family "Bacterial small subunit ribosomal RNA", at positions 1081 to 1382 of the family's 1533-position model. The record is from RNAcentral.
UAAGUCCCGCAACGAGCGCAACCCCUGUCCUUAGUUGCCAUCAUUCAGUUGGGCACUCUAAGGAGACUGCCGGUGACAAACCGGAGGAAGGUGGGGAUGACGUCAAGUCAUCAUGGCCCUUAUGGCCAGGGCUACACACGUGCUACAAUGGCAAGUACAAAGGGUUGCUAACUCGCGAGGGUGUGCUAAUCCCAUAAAGCUUGUCGUAGUCCGGAUCGCAGUCUGCAACUCGACUGCGUGAAGUCGGAAUCGCUAGUAAUCGCGGAUCAGAAUGCCGCGGUGAAUACGUUCCCGGGCCUU